UACGAAGGGGGCUAGCGUUGUUCGGAAUUACUGGGCGUAAAGGGCGCGUAGGCGGCCUCGUCCGUCCGGCGUGAAAUGCCUGGGCUUAACCUAGGAAUUGCGCUCGAUACAGCGAGGCUAGAGUGUGGGAGAGGUUGGUGGAAUUCCCAGUGUAGAGGUGAAAUUCGUAGAUAUUGGGAAGAACACCGGUGGCGAAGGCGGCCAACUGGACCACAACUGACGCUGAGGCGCGAAAGCGUGGGGAGCGAUCCGG
This 253-nucleotide ribosomal RNA is filed under the name uncultured bacterium. Its description in RNAcentral is "partial 16S ribosomal RNA". It matches the Rfam family "Bacterial small subunit ribosomal RNA", at positions 524 to 776 of the family's 1533-position model. The record is from RNAcentral.